CUUUGAACGAUUAUUACAUGUUCUAUGAGUGUGCAUGUGUUCUAAGUGAGGAGACGCGCUGAUAUGACUUAUUGAAGGUCUCGAUACAACAUGGCGCGACAGUUGGCCGUCCAGAACCAUUUUGCACGAUCACUGUGUUUCUUCGAGCUUUGUCGUAAUCGAGGCGACUUGAGUGCUCAGAGUCAAGCGAGUGUACUUAAAAAUUAGGAUUUUAUAUGAGGGACUUUGCCGCGUCUUUAAUUGGGCGGAUGUGAGCAUUCGACAUGAUCCCCGAAGCGCAAGCCACUACCAUAAUAGUUACGUGCAGUGCGAGGUGAGCUAAGCUUCGCCGCCUAACCGCGGCCUGAAAAUGUGGCGGCUCGUUAAGGGCUUACUGCAGUGCGCGUGUGUGAGUGUUUGUACAGCGAUCAUUUGUGCGAGAACCGGCGGCGCUUCUUUGUGCGCGGUAUCUGCUAGCUGGCGCGUACGUGGCGCCAAUCCCCUAGCUCGUGCGAUUGUGUGCAGUAGGUCGCCCACUUAGCGCGCAUUGUGCAGAUUUGCCAGUACGCUCCUUUCUAUCGUCUGUGUCUCUUCGCGCCCACGUCGUUGAUUGUGCAGGCAGUGCGCGACUGCGGCACGUAGCAUGUAGAGCCUGCGCCCGUCGACUUUGAUCUACGGGCGUGAAAUGUCGGCGGCGCGUUUGUGGUAUUAAAAGCGUGUGGUGAGCUUCCAACGGCACUACGGGUCAACGCCGCAUGAGCUGCCGGUCAGAGUAUAAGAACCUCUUUAUUGUUAGCGUACUGCUUGGCGGUAACAGGUGUCCUGCUUGGGUUCAGAUUACUGGAUAUGCCGUCACUUGAACCUUGGCGGCCGGAGCAGGUGAGUACCAGUGGCGCCGGCACCUCGGCGGGCAGAAAACGGUGCCCGUGCGGUGACGAGAUACAUCAAUUUACGCGAUGGCAUUGCCGGUGAUAGGUCAUACGGGCGCGUCGCUCCAUGCCUGUGUUCUUUGCUGAGGCCGCCACUACGCCUGCGGUGCACUUACUACGUUAUAUCUAUAUAGUCGAUGCUUGUGCAAUGUUGUUAUUCAACAGCUGGCGCUGUGCUCUGGAUAGCUGAACUUGUUUAAUGUUUAAUUACUUUGCUGCUGUGCCAUUGCGUAUUGGGUACAGAUAUUUAGUAUUGAAUUCUAGGUGCCAAAUUCACACAAAGAAGUUGCGCUUUUCAACUCAGGAUCAUAUCACACAUCACAGCGUCAUCCUAUAUUGCACGAGUAUUAUUAACAAAAUUUCUGUUGCUGGUGAAAAAAAAAGGCAGGCCGAUCAACCUGUAACCUGUAUCUGUGAGAAAAAUGUGCUUCAAGUCCGCCAUUGUCUAUAAAAAAAGGUACUACCUUGGUAUUUAAUGUCAGUAACACUCAUAAGUUAUGCAUCCUUUUGUGUGAAAUAAUUUGUCUUAGAAGCCAUUCAUUGUAAGGGAUCAGUAAACAUCUCAUAGCUUAAGUAGUGCAUAUGUGCAUGAGUUGGGCAAAGGUAUUGGUUUGUAAAGAGCAAAGCCAUUAAGAUAUAAAAUAUUGGCAAGCUUAGUUUAACAAUAAGCUGACGAAUAUACAAAACCUAAUGUAGCAGCAGAUGUUCUCCAAGAUAAGCUUGUGACCAGCUUUUUUGUGUUCUGUGUGAUCAUUGUAGUGUCAAAUUUUUCAUUUUUAUUUCAGGACUGCGGCUGCGGUCGUUUCAUUGCCAACUGUGAGGAUGAAGCAGCUUCAUGGCCGGAGAUCGGGCGCCUCCCAUCAGUUUCCCUUUUCAGCAAUAGAGGCCUUGGAGGCCUUUCUACCUGCGUUGCAUCCUGUGUGGACCACUCCAACGAUCUCGGCAGAAUCGUUGCACAGGAAGAAGUCUGGCUGGCCCCAAGCCUGGUGCAAAAUGAAGAAAUGGUACUCCACAUCAAUUCAUGUUUACUUGUCGUCAUAACCAGUCUGUUAGCUUAAUUUUUGGUUCUUCCUAUUGAAUUCUCAAGAAAGGUACCAACUCUGUCAUUCAUUGAAAACAAAUUUUUGCACUUGGGGAUGCAGCCAUGCAUUAAUAUCUUUAUUUUUUAAAGAAAGUGCAGCUCCUGCGUGGAGCAAUAGGUUGAAUAAGACGAGGGUAAAUGAAAAGAUGGCGAAAUUAGUCAUCAACAGUUGUCCAACAAAGGAAGUCUCAAGCUGGAGGCAACAUCUUUGCAAGAGAACCAAAUGGCUCCAGCCUGAAACAUUCGUUGUUCAGCCUGGCAAGUCUCCUUCUCGACAUAUUUCCUCUAGCCUGAGACCUAUAUCCAUUCCACCACCCUUGACCAACAAUACACCUAUACAUUUGGCAACCCGUGGAAAGGUAGCAAAUUCACAUUCAAGGAAAGGGAAUGUGGUGUGCACCCUGGAAGGUAGCAUGAACAGUAUUUUAUUUACUUAAUGAAAUGCAGAUUUGCUAUCCAAUUACUUUAUCCUGAUAAUUGGUUGGCUCUCUGCAAUGUCUCUCAGUAAAUAUAAUGCCUGGUAAAUGGAACCAAUUUCCCUGGUACCUUGAGGCUCCAUUUAAAGAGCACCCACUGUAAAAAUAUAGGGGGGAUCGUGUUUGGAACUUUCGUAAAUGUAGUCUUAAACAAAACCGCAUUUCAGUGGGAGCGAAAUGCAAAAGCACCCGUGUACUUAGACAGGUGCAUGUUAAAGAACCCCACGUUGUUCAAAUUAAUUCGGGGUUACUCGCUAUGGCAUGUGUCAUAAUCAGAAGGUGGGUUCUGGUUCGUAAAAUACAAUAAUUUUUAAUAGCUUGCUCAGAAAUCCAGCACUAAAUUAUGUCGCUUGUUUGUGUGAUGAGUCCCAAUUUCUUAAUUUAGUACUUUGACAUUUAUCAUAUUUGUGUGCUAGUCCAUGCAAAAUACCACUGAUCGGCCUCAUUAUACCAGCCACUGUUAAUUAGGAAUGGCUUAGUCAAGCAACUUAAACUUACAGCACAAACACCUAAGACGAACCACAAAAGGAAGAUACGACACACACUGGUGCUAACAACUUCUUUAUUUCUUCGUCGUCGAUGCAAUAUAAACCCUAGGCCACACUACCGCGCAGGCACUCAGAUUACAUUACAGAGAUCUGCCAAAUGAUCACAUACGCAAGCGUAGGAAGUCAAAUUCAGAUGGAUGCACGGACAAAGAUAUCUUACUAAUGCAAUUAUCGCCCUGCCUUCCUCUAAGGCAAGCCGCACAUGCUCAUUCUUGCUUUUGCCAAGAAUCGACGUCCCAUCAAGUUGUGCCUCACAAUUGUUGCAAGAGUUUAUAUGCGCACCAAGGUGCGCUCCUCUAUCUACAUUUGUGUUUACUUGUUGCGCAUGUUCCCUGAGUCGCUCAUUGACGCAAUGCCCUAUCUAGCCAAGCUAUGUCUUACCACAUGAGAGUGAAUGGCAUAAACCACGCCGACCGCGCACAACACGUAUGAAGCAUCAUGCCAAAUUUGGCGUCCUCCUCUGCCCUCUCCGCAGGUGCGGGAGCACAGCUUUAAAAGCUUGUUCGGUGCAGAAAACGCCAAAGGAACACUAUGCCUGCAAGCAAUUUUCUUGAGUUGAUAGAUGACCUUAUGUGUUUAAGGGACCGCGCAGGGAACAUGCACAAAAAGUAAACAAAAAUGUAGAUAGAAGAGUGCACAUUGUUGCGCAUAUAAACUGUUGCAAAAAUUGUGAGGCACGACUUGAUGGGACGUCGAUUCUUGGCAAAAGCAUGAAUGAGCUUGCGCGGCUUGCCUUAGAGGCCUACCACAUGAAAAGGCAAAAUGAUAAUUGCAUCAGUGACAUAGCUUUGUCCCUGCACCCAUCUGAAUUUGAGUUCCUACGUUUGCAUAUGUGAUAAUUUGGGAGAUCUCUGUAAUGUAAUGUGUGCGCCUGUGCAGUUGUGUGGCCUAGGGCAUAUAUAUGCAUCGACGACGAAGAAAUAAAGAAGUUGUCAGUUAGCGCCAGCGUGUGUCAUAUCUGCCUUUUGCGGUUCGUCUUAGGUGUUUGCGCUGUAAGUUUUAAGUUCAGAAUUAUGUACCAACUAGGGCAAAUGAAGUUUUACUCUUAGUCAAGCGAGCUCAAUAUAUAGUCUGUGCAAAAGUGUGGAGUGUCAGUACAAAGUAACAGUUCAAACACAUGGCUCUGUAGUUACAGUUCAGUAUGAAACGAGAUAAGAUUUCUUAGAAUUUCUUUCAUUUACUAAUUUCAUUGUGUUAGGACAUGUACAAUACUAGCAACUGGCAUGCUUACAAUGUACAGUGCUCUUUUUUAAAAUCCAGACAAUUGUUUUACUGGGGCAGAAAUGUGCUUUCUUUUGGGCCCGGAAGUGAACAUAUUAUAUUUCUUACAUUUGGUGUAAAAUAAAUUUUCUUCACUGUCA
Non-coding RNA from Dermacentor andersoni, 4374 nucleotides. Lineage: Eukaryota; Metazoa; Arthropoda; Arachnida; Ixodida; Ixodidae. The record is from RefSeq and is a predicted model, not a curated record.